CUACAACAAAGCAGUACAAAUCAUGUAAUGAAAAGAAUGCAGUUGAAAGACAAUCUAAACAGGCUGUGUUGGUAAAAUAUAUUUAAUAUAUAUUUCACGUUAUCUUUUUUUCUGUGCAGCACCAAUAAACUACAGUUCGAAUACAAACGCGGCCCUCAGGGGUAGCUACGUUACACCACAAAACCUUUCUAAUCUUUACCAAUUGCGGUUUGCACUUUUCCGCUUUGACCCCAAGCAGAGCUCGCCUUUAAUACAGAUGUUGGCGUGAUCACAAAGAAAUGAAUGAAAUAAGUAUCAGGAGACCUGCAAAAGAGGAACAUUUUGUGCUUUGCAGAAAAGAGGCAAAAACCACUUCCUGUGAGUGAAUGAGAGAGCCGUCCCAAAAACCACACAGUUUCAUAAAAAUACCACACACGCUACCUCGAUAAUGCUGCAGCCUAACAUUAUAGCUGCCCCUUGUUUACAACACAAUAAACCCAUACGCUGGAAAGCAAAGAGCACUUGCGCUGCACAAAAAGAAAGAAAGAAAAAAAAAACCACAAUAAGAUAACAGUGUCAUGUCUCUACUGCUUCACUGACACCCAGCCAUGUUUCCAGCCAAAACGCAGGUAAACCCGCACCUGGUAUUAGUCAGUGUCAUUAUUCAGUUAUUGUUUCCAUUGUUCCUGGAAAUAUCAAAUGAAACCCUUGCUUCCUUGCAGAAUAAAACUGCACUAAAUUGACGCUACUCUAUUCUGUCCAAUCGUCCUAGAGUCUCGAGGCAGGUUAUUAAGUUACUUUAUUGAUCACCAAUGUGGAGGGGGAAAAAAAGCUCAUUCAAAUGUCACAGAAAAGGAGACAGCAUUAAUACAGAGACAGCCUGAACGCUCAUCUGUCUGACUGAAAUGGUUUCAGUUUAAAUGUCACUGUGUCUCUCUUCUACGCAGCUUUGACUGUCAUACAGUUUAUGUCUUCUCGUUAGUGGCAGCAAAGGCCUGAAUGGCCAUCUGACGAAUUCAAUUCAAUCAAAGUGAAACUGCUGCUUGGUACGCGAGUUGUCCAAAAGCGAACGCUGGGAUUACCCAGGGAGGUGGUGAGUCAAACUGUCAAAGAAAAAAAGCAAUUCAGCCAC
Astatotilapia calliptera (eastern happy) is the source of this 1111-nucleotide long non-coding RNA. The record is from Ensembl. NCBI's taxonomy places the organism in Eukaryota, Metazoa, Chordata, Actinopteri, Cichliformes, Cichlidae.